This 274-nucleotide ribosomal RNA is filed under the name uncultured bacterium. RNAcentral's name for it is "partial 16S ribosomal RNA". It matches the Rfam family "Bacterial small subunit ribosomal RNA", at positions 523 to 796 of the family's 1533-position model. The record is from RNAcentral.
AUACGGAGGGGGCUAGCGUUGUUCGGAAUUACUGGGCGUAAAGCGCGCGUAGGCGGAUUGAUCAGUCAGGGGUGAAAUCCCGGAGCUUAACUCCGGAACUGCCUUUGAUACUGUCAAUCUUGAGUUCGAGAGAGGUGAGUGGAAUUCCUAGUGUAGAGGUGAAAUUCGUAGAUAUUAGGAAGAACACCAGUGGCGAAGGCGGCUCACUGGCUCGAUACUGACGCUGAGGUGCGAAAGCGUGGGGAGCAAACAGGAUUAGAAACCCUAGUAGUCC